GUCCCGGGAGCCCGGCCUCGUGCGCCGCGCUUUGAGGUGAGCCUCUCUGAGAAAUUUGUGAGGAGGGUCCAGCCGCGGGUCGGAAGGAAGGACGUGGGGAGCGAGGCUCGAGCGAGCGACAGCGAGUGCGAAGCAGACUGCUCGACAAACACUGCGCCAAGAGCUCCUCAGCAGAAGCUCCUCGCAUCAGAUCCUCUGUGCUGGGAAUCCUCCCCUCUUGAGCACACUCUGUGCUCCUCUUCCAGUUACGGUGCAUGUGAAGCAAUGGUAUGGGAAAAUUGUUUGCAGAAGGAUGAAAAGGCUUUAUUGCCAAACUCUGAGUGAACUCCCAUGGACUGCCUUGCUGGUCAGGAAAGGCUAACAGCCCCCACUCCACAAAACCCAGCUUGUUCUGGCUCAUGAACCCAAAGGACCAAAGGAAGGUGCAGGCGAGCACAGCAUGGAGACACACGGAGGUGGACGUGCAGCCCUCACACUGGUGCCCAACACCUGCCAGACGGUUACUACAGUGAGAAGGAAGCCUGAGACUUGGCUGCAGCCACCCACCAGACCUCCCCAGGUCAAGCACGUACCCCCCAGGGGUGGAAGGUCCAUCUGCGGAAGCUGGAACCCGAGCACAGCCUGCUUCAGC
Molecule: long non-coding RNA, 631 nt
Filed under: Homo sapiens (human)
Lineage: Eukaryota; Metazoa; Chordata; Mammalia; Primates; Hominidae
Description: HSALNT0274809
Source: RNAcentral